CUGCUCAGGUCUCUCCUCAAAUCCACGCAUUAAUCUUUCGCCUUUUACUAAAGAUGAGGGACACUCCAAUGAGCCUAUAGGCCAAUUUUUGAGAGGCCCUGCCCGUUUGGAGAGGGGCU
RNAcentral lists this small nuclear RNA (119 nucleotides) under Dermacentor silvarum. Its description in RNAcentral is "U5 spliceosomal RNA". It matches the Rfam family "U5 spliceosomal RNA". From Rfam's summary of the family: U5 RNA is a component of both types of known spliceosome. The precise function of this molecule is unknown, though it is known that the 5' loop is required for splice site selection and p220 binding, and that both the 3' stem-loop and the Sm site are important for Sm protein binding and cap methylation. The record is from RNAcentral. Lineage: Eukaryota; Metazoa; Arthropoda; Arachnida; Ixodida; Ixodidae.